GACGUAGGGUCCAAGCGUUGUCCGGAUUUACUGGGCGUAAAGAGCGCGUAGGCGGCUCGUUAAGUGUGGUGUGAAAUCUCCAGGGCUCAACCCGGAAACUGCACCGCAUACUGGCGAGCUUGAGGAAUGCAGAGGUAACUGGAAUUCCUGGUGUAGCGGUGAAAUGCGUUGAUAUCAGGAGGAACACCCAUGGCGAAGGCAGGUUACUGGGCAUUAUCUGACGCUGAGGCGCGAAAGCGUGGGUAGCAAACAGGAUUAGAUACCCUGGUAGUCCACGCCCUAAACGAUGGAUACUAGACGUAAGAGGUAUCGACCCCUCUUGUGUCGCAGCUAACGCACUAAGUAUCCCGCCUGGGGAGUACGGCCGCAAGGUUGAA
Molecule: ribosomal RNA, 377 nt
Filed under: uncultured bacterium
Lineage: Bacteria
Description: bacterial SSU rRNA
Rfam family: Bacterial small subunit ribosomal RNA
Source: RNAcentral